Molecule: long non-coding RNA, 383 nt
Organism: Cyprinus carpio carpio
Lineage: Eukaryota; Metazoa; Chordata; Actinopteri; Cypriniformes; Cyprinidae
Source: Ensembl
CUUCGGCAAGCACCACUAACUAGAAUGUACAUUUCCUGAAGAAAAUGUGAGUGGUGCUUGCAGUGGCAAAACUCGGCGCUCGGUUGCUAAGGUGCUUCUAGGCGGUUGUUAGAGCGGUUGCUAGGGUACCCAGGGUGGUUGCUAGGGUGUUGCUAUGUCGUUGCUAGGUUAGUUGGGGUGGUUGCUAGGGUCCCCAGGAUGGUUGCUAGGGCCGUUGCUAGGGUACUUGGGGUGGUUGCUAAGGUGUUGCUAGGCGGUUGCUAGGGUGUUCUGGGUGGUUGCUAGGCGGUUGCUAGGCAGUUGCUAAGGUACUUAGGGUGGUUGCUAAGGUGUUGCUAGGUGGUUGCUAGGGUGUUCUGGGUGGUUGCUAGGCGGUUGCUAAG